GGCCUGGUAGUCUAGCUUGGAUAGCUUGAUAUUCUUCCAUUCCAAACAGGGCACUGGCUUGCGGAGCCAGAAGUCGAGGGUUCAAAUCCCCCCCAGGCCA
RNAcentral lists this transfer RNA (100 nucleotides) under Promethearchaeota archaeon. RNAcentral describes it as "Candidatus Lokiarchaeota archaeon tRNA-Arg". It matches the Rfam family "tRNA". From Rfam's summary of the family: Transfer RNA (tRNA) molecules are approximately 80 nucleotides in length. Their secondary structure includes four short double-helical elements and three loops (D, anti-codon, and T loops). The record is from RNAcentral. Lineage: Archaea; Promethearchaeati; Promethearchaeota.